UGGGGAAUCUUGCACAAUGGGCGACAGCCUGAUGCAGCAAUGCCGCGUGAGGGAAGACGGCCUUCGGGUUGUAAACCUCUUUCAGUUGGGAAGAAGGGUGAACGGUGAAUAGCCGGGCCACUUGACGGUACCUUCAGAAGAAGCUCCGGCUAACUACGUGCCAGCAGCCGCGGUAAUACGUAGGGAGCAAGCGUUGUCCGGAAUCAUUGGGCGUAAAGCGCGUGUAGGCGGUUACAUAAGUCUGUUGUGAAAGUCGGAGGCUCAACCUUCGAAAGCCGAUGGAUACUGUGUGACUUGAGUACGGAAGAGGAGAGUGGAAUUCCUGGUGUAGCGGUGAAAUGCGCAGAUAUCAGGAGGAACACCAACGGCGAAGGCAGCUCUCUGGGACGUUACUGACGCUGAGACGCGAAAGCGUGGGGAGCAAACAGGAUUAGAUACCCCCGUAGUCC
RNAcentral lists this ribosomal RNA (449 nucleotides) under uncultured bacterium. RNAcentral describes it as "bacterial SSU rRNA". It matches the Rfam family "Bacterial small subunit ribosomal RNA", at positions 355 to 796 of the family's 1533-position model. The record is from RNAcentral.